Molecule: ribosomal RNA, 907 nt
Filed under: Lactobacillus sp.
Lineage: Bacteria; Bacillati; Bacillota; Bacilli; Lactobacillales; Lactobacillaceae
Also listed under: 1 other name
Description: bacterial SSU rRNA
Rfam family: Bacterial small subunit ribosomal RNA
Source: RNAcentral
GCAGCCGCGGUAAUACGUAGGUGGCAAGCGUUAUCCGGAUUUAUUGGGCGUAAAGAGAGUGCAGGCGGUUUUCUAAGUCUGAUGUGAAAGCCUUCGGCUUAACCGGAGAAGUGCAUCGGAAACUGGAUAACUUGAGUGCAGAAGAGGGUAGUGGAACUCCAUGUGUAGCGGUGGAAUGCGUAGAUAUAUGGAAGAACACCAGUGGCGAAGGCGGCUACCUGGUCUGCAACUGACGCUGAGACUCGAAAGCAUGGGUAGCGAACAGGAUUAGAUACCCUGGUAGUCCAUGCCGUAAACGAUGAGUGCUAGGUGUUGGAGGGUUUCCGCCCUUCAGUGCCGGAGCUAACGCAUUAAGCACUCCGCCUGGGGAGUACGACCGCAAGGUUGAAACUCAAAGGAAUUGACGGGGGCCCGCACAAGCGGUGGAGCAUGUGGUUUAAUUCGAAGCUACGCGAAGAACCUUACCAGGUCUUGACAUCUUGCGCCAACCCUAGAGAUAGGGCGUUUCCUUCGGGAACGCAAUGACAGGUGGUGCAUGGUCGUCGUCAGCUCGUGUCGUGAGAUGUUGGGUUAAGUCCCGCAACGAGCGCAACCCUUGUUACUAGUUGCCAGCAUUAAGUUGGGCACUCUAGUGAGACUGCCGGUGACAAACCGGAGGAAGGUGGGGACGACGUCAGAUCAUCAUGCCCCUUAUGACCUGGGCUACACACGUGCUACAAUGGACGGUACAACGAGUCGCGAACUCGCGAGGGCAAGCAAAUCUCUUAAAACCGUUCUCAGUUCGGACUGCAGGCUGCAACUCGCCUGCACGAAGUCGGAAUCGCUAGUAAUCGCGGAUCAGCAUGCCGCGGUGAAUACGUUCCCGGGCCUUGUACACACCGCCCGUCACACCAUGAGAGUUUGUAAC